Molecule: ribosomal RNA, 276 nt
Filed under: uncultured bacterium
Lineage: Bacteria
Description: partial 16S ribosomal RNA
Rfam family: Bacterial small subunit ribosomal RNA
Source: RNAcentral
GAUGAACGCUGGCGGCAUGUUUAAGGCAUGCAAGUCAAAGGGGUGUAGCAAUACAUUACCUGGCAGACGGGUGCGUAACACAUUGGUAAUCUGCCUCCAUCUCAAGUAUAACCCCGCGAAAGCGGGGACAAUCCUUGAUAGUCAUGAGGGGUCGCAAGACAUUCUCAUGUAAAGCUUCGGCGGAUGGAGAGGAGCCUAUGGCCCAUCAGCAGUUGGUAGGGUAACGGCCUACCAAGGCUAUGACGGGUAGCGGGUGUGAGAGCACGACCCGCCUCA